Molecule: ribosomal RNA, 498 nt
Filed under: uncultured Lachnospiraceae bacterium
Lineage: Bacteria; Bacillati; Bacillota; Clostridia; Lachnospirales; Lachnospiraceae
Description: bacterial SSU rRNA
Rfam family: Bacterial small subunit ribosomal RNA
Source: RNAcentral
AGAGUUUGAUCCUGGCUCAGGAUGAACGCUGGCGGCGUGCCUAACACAUGCAAGUCGAACGGAGUUAUUAUUAAGAAAUCUUCGGAUGGAUUGAUAAUAACUUAGUGGCGGACGGGUGAGUAACGCGUGGGUAACCUGCCCUAUACAGGGGGAUAACAGCCGGAAACGGUUGCUAAAACCGCAUAAGCGCACAUUGUCGCAUGACAAAGUGUGAAAAUAUUUAUAGGUAUAGGAUGGGCCCGCGUCUGAUUAGCUAGUUGGUGAGGUAACGGCUCACCAAGGCGACGAUCAGUAGCCGGCUUGAGAGAGUGACCGGCCACAUUGGGACUGAGACACGGCCCAAACUCCUACGGGAGGCAGCAGUGGGGAAUAUUGCACAAUGGGGGAAACCCUGAUGCAGCGACGCCGCGUGAGUGAAGAAGUAUUUCGGUAUGUAAAGCUCUAUCAGCAGGGAAGAAAAUGACGGUACCUGACUAAGAAGCCCCGGCUAACUACGUG